UUUUAUGACCAAUUUGUGCAGAAAUCCAUAUCAUUCCAAAGGGUUCACAUAUGUUUUCUUGCAACUGUGUAUAUAUAUAUAUAUGUACAUUGCACCCCUCCCUGUCACAGGUGCCUCAUCCCAGUGCCCUAUUUAGCCUUGUACUGCAGAGAGCCCCAGAUGGAAUUUCCCCCCCCAAGUAAGUGGGUUAAUCUCAUAAGAGCAGACAUUAGGCUGUUAGUGUAGGACCUGCCAACAAUGGGGUACAUUGACGUUGUGGCAGGCUUAUGCAAUGUAUGAUCAUAUAAUGUAACUAAAC
Non-coding RNA from Pelobates cultripes (western spadefoot toad), 298 nucleotides. The record is from the annotation of a GenBank genome assembly. Lineage: Eukaryota; Metazoa; Chordata; Amphibia; Anura; Pelobatidae.